Non-coding RNA from Ameiurus melas (black bullhead), 73 nucleotides. NCBI's taxonomy places the organism in Eukaryota, Metazoa, Chordata, Actinopteri, Siluriformes, Ictaluridae. The record is from the annotation of a GenBank genome assembly.
GGCAUGGUGGCUUUGUGGUUAGCACGUUUGCCUCAAGUCUCAGGGGUUGGGGGUCCGAAUCCCACCUUUGCCU